GACGAACGCUGGCGGCGUGCCUAAUACAUGCAAGUAGAACGCUGAAGGAGGAGCUUGCUUCUCUGGAUGAGUUGCGAACGGGUGAGUAACGCGUAGGUAACCUGCCUGGUAGCGGGGGAUAACUAUUGGAAACGAUAGCUAAUACCGCAUAAUAGUAGAUGUUGCAUGACAUUUACUUAAAAGGUGCAAUUGCAUCACUACCAGAUGGACCUGCGUUGUAUUAGCUAGUUGGUGGGGUAACGGCUCACCAAGGCGACGAUACAUAGCCGACCUGAGAGGGUGAUCGGCCACACUGGGACUGAGACACGGCCCAGACUCCUACGGGAGGCAGCAGUAGGGAAUCUUCGGCAAUGGGCGAAAGUCUGACCGAGCAACGCCGCGUGAGUGAAGAAGGUUUUCGGAUCGUAAAGCUCUGUUGUAAGAGAAGAACGAGUGUGAGAGUGGAAAGUUCACACUGUGACGGUAUCUUACCAGAAAGGGACGGCUAACUACGUG
RNAcentral lists this ribosomal RNA (495 nucleotides) under uncultured bacterium. RNAcentral's name for it is "partial 16S ribosomal RNA". It matches the Rfam family "Bacterial small subunit ribosomal RNA", at positions 28 to 507 of the family's 1533-position model. The record is from RNAcentral.